RNAcentral lists this unclassified non-coding RNA (215 nucleotides) under Hevea brasiliensis (rubber tree). The record is from RNAcentral. Lineage: Eukaryota; Viridiplantae; Streptophyta; Magnoliopsida; Malpighiales; Euphorbiaceae.
GAUGUAAUGCGGGACUGGAGAACAUCAGUUGGAGAUGAAGUAAACCCAAGGGAGACUCUACAAGAAGAAUCCAUGGUACAACAUUUCAAUGAAUUGCCAAGCAAUGACUUCAAGAUUAAGCGUAUUGAGGAGUGGGUCAGUGAUCUUCAACUUUGUAGUCCGUUAGAUGAAACAACUGAAGUAUACGAAUCUGCUGCUAAUGAAGUGAAAAGAGG